AAAAAAGUGUGUAAGUUUUUUUUUUCUAUAUAUUGCAAUUCAUUUCUCUCAUCUUUAUGUUUCUUUUUUUUAUUUUCAGUUUUAAAAUUUUAAUUAUGUAAAAAUUCAUCUUAUUAUUGUGCUCCUCUUAAAAAAUUUAACUAGAAAGGGAUUUCACCGGUUAAGUCGUUGAAAUCGAGAAUCAGAGUCUCUAAAGUCUUGACAUACAUGAGCUCGUGAGGGAUCUCUCCUUCUAACAUAUUCAGCCAUAGUUUCAGAUCUUGAAGCUUCGAUAGGGAGCCUAAGCUCGAAGGAAUUGUCCCGGAGAGGUAAUUGAAGCUCAAGUGAAGCGAAACGAGCUCAGAGCAGUUGCUUAACGUCGGUGGGAUCUUCCCGGUGAAGCCAUUGUUCUGAAGGUAAAGCUCCUGGAGAGUAUUUUUAGGAUUCCGACAGAGAUUUGGGAAAAUCGGACCGGAAAAAUAGUUGGAGCUGAGAUCUAGCGUUAGCAACGAAGCAGACAGAUUCGCCGGAAAACUCAUUGAAAGACAGAUCGAGUACUUGAGACCUCUCAUCUUCAGUAACGUAUCCAUUGGUAACUUGCCAGAGAAGUUGUUACUCGACAACACAUGUGAUUCCAGAAGUGAACAAGAGCCGAAGAAAGGAGGAACCGUACCGGAUAAUUUGUUCCCGGAGAUGUCAAGAUGUUGCAAAGCCAAGCAAUCUCCGAGAAAUGGAAUCCCAAUGGAGAAAUUGUUGGAAGAAACAUCGAGAAACUUGAGAGUCACGCAACGAGAAACAUCAAGGCCUGUUAGAGUCGUUACAGGACCGGAAAGAGAGUUUCUUGAUAGAGCCAAGCUGGUGAGAGAAGCAGAGCACUUGAAGCCAGAAAUGGAGCCGUUGAUGAGACUCUAAUCCGGUGAUUAGAAGAAGAAGAAGAAGAAGAAGAAGAUCUUAGGGGGAAUUUUGUUCCGCCAUUAGAGAGGCCGUGGAAGAAGCUCAAGAGGGGG
Molecule: long non-coding RNA, 986 nt
Filed under: Arabidopsis lyrata
Lineage: Eukaryota; Viridiplantae; Streptophyta; Magnoliopsida; Brassicales; Brassicaceae
Description: long non-coding RNA (ALYR_LNC003324)
Source: RNAcentral